AAACCUCUACAGUCCCACAGUACCCAAUAGUCCUCGCGCAAUGGAAGCGGUUUCUGUCUCCACCGUUGCUUCCCAUCAUUUCUCUUCAACUCGUUCUUUACUUCCAGCAAGCUCUAGCUUCUGCAACCCGAGAGCAUCGACCAAAUUUAGCUCUUCUUGGACUGGUUCCAGCCUCUCCAUAGAACCUUCUUCUAGAAAUCUUUUCACGAGGGAGGUAUGGAGUUGGGUUCAUUCGAGGAGUCUUACUGUUAGAAGGGAAAUGCGAGGUGUUGUAAGAGCGGAAAUGUUUGGGCAGCUGACUAGUGGCCUCGAAGCAGCUUGGAGCAAGCUCAAAGGAGAAGAAGUUUUGACCAAGGACAAUAUUGUGGAACCUAUGCGAGAUAUUAGGAGGGCUCUUUUGGAAGCAGAUGUAAGCCUGCCUGUUGUCAGAAGGUUUGUUCAGGCUGUAAGUGAACAAGUAGUCGGUGUUGGACUGAUUCGAGGGGUGAGACCAGAUCAGCAGUUAGUUAAGAUUGUACAUGAUGAACUUGUCAAGUUGAUGGGUGGAGAAGUAUCUGAACUGACUUUUGCAAAAUCUGGCCCCACAGUGAUAUUAUUGGCUGGUCUACAAGGUGUUGGAAAGACAACUGUUUGUGCUAAGCUAGCUUUUUAUCUUAAAAAACUGGGAAAGAGUUGCAUGCUUGUUGCUGCAGAUGUGUACAGGCCUGCUGCAAUUGAUCAACUUGUUAUUCUGGGUGAACAGGUAGAUGUUCCUGUUUAUACAGCAGGGACAGAGGUAAAACCUUCAGAGAUUGCUAGGCAAGGUCUGGAAGAGGCAAAAAAGAAGAACAUAGAUGUAGUCGUAGUGGAUACUGCUGGAAGACUACAGAUUGAUAAAGCAAUGAUGGAUGAGUUGAAGGAAGUGAAGCGUGAGUUGAAUCCUACAGAAGUUUUGCUUGUGGUGGAUGCAAUGACUGGCCAAGAAGCUGCAGCACUGGUUACAACAUUCAAUCUUGAGAUUGGAAUUACUGGUGCUAUAUUGUCAAAGCUAGAUGGUGAUUCUAGAGGUGGAGCUGCUCUAAGUGUCAAAGAGGUAUCAGGGAAGCCAAUCAAGCUUGUAGGACGGGGAGAACGUAUGGAAGAUCUUGAACCAUUCUAUCCGGACCGUAUGGCUGGACGCAUCUUAGGAAUGGGAGACGUUCUUUCAUUUGUGGAGAAAGCACAAGAAGUUAUGCGGCAAGAGGACGCACAGGAGUUGCAAAAGAAGAUAAUGAGUGCAAAAUUUGACUUCAAUGACUUCCUAAAGCAGACCCGUGCUGUUGCACGGAUGGGUUCCAUGACACGUGUUAUUGGAAUGAUUCCAGGCAUGGGGAAGGUAACUCCUGCACAAAUUCGAGAAGCAGAGAAGAGCUUAAAGAUAAUGGAAGCAAUGAUUGAAGCAAUGACCCCCGAGGAAAGGGAAAAGCCUGAAUUAUUGGCAGAAUCCCCUGAAAGGAGAAAAAGAGUAGCUCAAGAUUCGGGGAAGACAGAACAGCAGGUAAGCCAACUUGUUGCCCAACUUUUCCAAAUGCGUGUUCGUAUGAAAAAUUUGAUGGGAGUAAUGGAAGGAGGAUCAAUUCCCGCACUAAGCAAUCUUGAGGAGGCACUUAAAGCUGAACAGAAGGCACCUCCUGGUACUGCAAGGAGGAGGAGGAGAUCAGAAUCUAGGAGGCAAUUUGCAGAUUCAACAUCAGCAAGGCCAAACCCUCAUGGUUUUGGGACCAGGACUUGAGAAUUAAAUCUAAUCCACUGCUGAAGGUUCAGAUCACCGUUCAUUCCUCAAUACCCCCCCCCCCGGGUAAACUCUAAAAAAGAGGGCCCAUUCUUCUGUCUACUUCUAAUCUAGUACUCAUUAUAGGAUUACCAGAAUGAAUACUUGCAAUUCAGAAGGAUGGGAAGUUGCUAUAUAUUCUAUGGUUUUGGCGUGAAUCAAGCAAAUGUGUUUUGUUCCACCAAAAGAAGUAUAAACCAAAUUUGUUUUGGAGGGCCAUUGACAAAAACUAAAUGGAUGUGUUAUAAUUUCUACUUUUAAAUAAGCAUUUACAAGAUUUCUAUU
RNA transcript from Nelumbo nucifera (sacred lotus), 2074 nucleotides. It is a transcript of the gene named signal recognition particle subunit SRP54, chloroplastic, with no coding region annotated. Lineage: Eukaryota; Viridiplantae; Streptophyta; Magnoliopsida; Proteales; Nelumbonaceae. The record is from RefSeq and is a predicted model, not a curated record.